UUCUACAGCCAUACCACCCUGAACGCGCCCGAUCUUGUCUGAUCUCAGAAGCUAAGCAGGGUCGGGCCUGGUUAGUACUUGGAUGGGAGAAUUUCAGUCCUGUUCUUC
Mesocricetus auratus (golden hamster) is the source of this 108-nucleotide ribosomal RNA. NCBI's taxonomy places the organism in Eukaryota, Metazoa, Chordata, Mammalia, Rodentia, Cricetidae. The record is from Ensembl.